Molecule: unclassified non-coding RNA, 897 nt
Filed under: Hevea brasiliensis (rubber tree)
Lineage: Eukaryota; Viridiplantae; Streptophyta; Magnoliopsida; Malpighiales; Euphorbiaceae
Source: RNAcentral
GGCAAAUAUCUUGUUCUAGUAUAAGGGAAGCCAAAGAAUCGGACAAAAUUUUGGCAAUCCUUUACUGCAGUACCUUCACCCCCUGAUGCACUUAUAUGACUCAAGUAUGUCUUGCCUUCAUAUAUGAAAGAGAGUUGCUGCCAUAAAAGCACGCUUAAACCUAUCUCGAUAGAGACACUAGCAAUAAACAGGUAAAUAAGAACAAGUCCUCUCGCGGGUAGAAACAACAUAGAACUCAUAAAUGCAACAAAAAUAUCUUUUAACAUUCUCAUAACCAACUUUUGACCAAAAGCCCCAGUCAGAAGGUGGAUUUGCCAGUUGUUUAAUGGUGGCCAGAUAUGAUAAACUGCAUAUACAGACAUGAUGGACGCGUAAAUCAUGCCAAUGAUUGCUGAAAUGAGGAAAAGGAUAAAAUGCCGAUGGUUUGCUGCACCAACACAGUUUCCAAUAAAUGGACAAUGAUGAUCCAUGUCCAAUACGCACAUCCCACAAGAACGGCAAUGAUGUGCCCUAGGUGACUUUGGCUUUGCACAAUAUUCACAAAAUCUAUAAUUUUCAAGUGCUCCUUUUGUCACAGCAGGAUAGCUACCCCAUAUUAUGUUUGGUGGAGCACCAGCAGAUCGAAAUGCAGAAAGGCUAAAUGUGGACAAGGUAAAUAUGGACAAUAUUAUAGCAAUCAAAAUGUUAACACCUCCAUAGAUGUAACCAAGAGAAAGUAAUACCGGAUAAAUGGCCCAAAUACCGCCACAUAUUACCAAUAGUAUGAAGACAAUGAGGAUGCUGACAAAGCACCGGUCUCGCAAUCGUCUCCACCUGAAGUUCUGGUUCUCACAUUUAAUUAUGUUCUGGUUACUUAUAGCUCCACACCAGAAACACUUGAAAGCAGGCACAUGUGGU